UGCAGGCAUUGCUUGAGUAUUUGCAGAAACAUGCAGGCACGUUGGUACAUGGACACUUCCCUUAGAAAAGAGUUGUCUCACCUUAGUCUGCAACAGAGUUGGGUCUGGUUUAGGCCACCAUGCAAACCGCCAAGCCCUGUUAUUUCUUCUGCAGCUCUCUUAUGCGAUGAGACCAGGGUGUAAGCCUUAACCCUCCUGUACAGGAAGAGAAAGCAAGCCCUAGAGGAUGACUUCACUGGAUGUGCCUGCUUUUCUGAUUCCUGCCUCCUGAGCCUACUGCACAGCAGUAAAAUAGUCCAGCUCUCCCGUUCUUCAGUCAUAUGAAGCCAAAGAUGAAAAUAGAUCUAUAAUGUUAACACUAGUAAAGGCUACAAAACCAGGCCCUGGCACUGAGCACCUGCUGCAAUUAAAGCAAUGGCAUUUGGCUGCUGUGAGGUCUAUUCUUUAUGAAGUCUUAUUUGAUUGUAGACUAAUGAACCCAUCAAUUCAUCACAGCACUUCUAUUACCCUACUGCUGUUGUGGGAUAUUGUAUCGCUGAGCUUGGAUUGUCUGGCAUUAUGUUGAUUCAGCACAGAAAUGCACAAUAGGAACUGGGAAGAAAAUAAAACCCAGGACCGUAAGAGGAAUUGCCUUUAAGGUAUCAAUACAAAGUUUGAGCAGUCAAGAACCAAAUAUGAUAAUACUGACAGUCUUCACAUGUUUCUUGAAAAAACAUUUUGGUGUUGAAUUUGGACAGUGAACACUAACAAAGGAACAUACUGAAAAUAAAAGAAACUAGACUGUUCUUUGUAAUUGUGUCAGAGGAAUCACAAUGUCUAUAUAAGUAUAUAAACAGAGGCUCUGCAAACACAAACAAGAGGAACAGAGAUGUCUGAAAUAAAUAACAUGCUUAUAAAGAAACACAGUUAACAGAUAGGGAUGAAUACAACCUUGUCAAAUUACUAUUCCUUGGAAAAAGAGUUUAAAAUUCCCAAUACUAGCAGGUCAACAGAAGAAAGAAAAUUGUUUAAAUUUAGGCAACACAAGUCCCUGGAAAAAAGUUUCUAAGUUCCAAAAAGUUAAACUCCUUUCCAUCCAGCACAACCUCCGUCUGAAUUUAGCCACGAACUCAUUCACUUUUUUUUUUAAGCCAGCUGUUACAACACAUGUAGUACUCUGAUUAUCCAAGCAUCUCAGUUCUAGGACAAGAUUGUUUUUCUGAAGUGUGUAAUCUGAUGCCACAGUGCAGACAAGUGAUUUGGGCAGCCUGGGCAUUUUAAUACCGUGUCCAUCUGCUGCACAUGUACUGACAUGAGUUCUUCUGGAUGUGGGAGAUGGAGCAUCUAGAGCAGGUGUAAACUAAUCUUUAAAAACAAGGCCAACAAUUAGCUAGUAAACAGCGGUGCUGUAAGUCUAAUUAAUUAAUGUUUGAAAAUGUUCUGAGAUUCUUCAGAUAGAACAUAUUACAAACAUGAAAAAUAUUAUAAGUAAUCUUAACUGAUAUAUUAAUAACACAGAAGGUAGGAAUGCAGUCUUGUUCCAAAAAAAGCCUCGUGAAGGGUUUCUCUUGCAGCAGGUUUACUAACAGAAGCAACUGACUGCAAAACAAGUACAAAGCUCUGCUCCUAGCUGUGGUGCCCCAGGAAGGCAGCAAAGCUCGUGCAUAGAAGCAAUUUUUGUUGCUGUUUGCUUGCAAGGGAAUCAUGUGCUCCAUCCACGUUCAGACGAGUCCCUGGAGGUCUGUGAGCCUUUGGCUUCAUUCAGCCUGUCUCCUCAGUGUCCACAAUGAGAUCUUGUCACUGCUCUGCUGCUGCAACCCACAAAACAAGCAAGUGGCUUAAUAACUAAGAGAAAUACUUUAGCUGAAGAAACUUCUGGAUUGGAGUGUGACUCCUUCAUUGCAGAGGGUACAGGAAGGGCAGCAGAAGACCACCAGCCCCAUGAGACUUGCUCUACCAUGAAUAUGGGUAACAGGAUCGUUGUUUGCCCUUGGUCUCUUCUGGGGUCAUGUUCAGGCAUCUUUCAUCUCUGAAUACAGUGAUCCAGCAUAAAAGAUUUGUGCCCUCUCUGAAAGCUUGCAGACUACCCUUUCCAGGGAACUACCAUCCAGGUACUCUCCCUCUCACCCAGUUCAGCCCUGGAGGGUGGGACUGAGUAAAUGAGAGUGAGAGGGUGAGGCAGAAGAUGGCGUUCACAGAUCCUUUCUGCAGCUGGAAGUCCAAGGCAUGCUGGAGGAGAUGUUGAGGUCUGACAGGGUCCCAACAUGGCGGAAAGCCGGUGGUUUUGGUGAUACGUUGCAGAGCACAACAGGAUGAUGGCACCUCUGCAGAAUGACUUCUUGCGUGUUGCAUACCAAAUACGCUGAGAAAGCAAAUAAACUGACAGUGACUGGGAAAUGACAGAUCCAUGCCCAAGCUGUGAAGAGCUGCCGUCACUCCUGUGUCCUCAUCUCUUCAAAAGCCUGCUCAGGCUUUUGAAGUGUUGAGGUCUUCCUGUUUUCUUCCUCGUUUGUGCCUUUCUGCUUGAAUCGUGGGGACCCCCUUGCCAUGCUGAUUUGGAAGGAACUGAUGCCUGCCUGGCUGAGCAAAGUGACCACAUGUGGGCACUCCCCAGCCAAGCAAAACCCCAGAAAGGCUACCCUCCUUACACUGACAUUCACUCAUCAUUAUUCAGAACUAAGCAGCUGUUUUGGUAGAAAAAUAAACCAGCAGUAACAAAGUUGGCUCAGAAGGGCAUGCGGGAAGGGGGUAGGAGCCCUAGCUCAGAGCAGGGGCAUGGAUAGAGAAGUGGGUAA
Molecule: long non-coding RNA, 2774 nt
Organism: Columba livia (rock pigeon)
Lineage: Eukaryota; Metazoa; Chordata; Aves; Columbiformes; Columbidae
Exons: 4
Source: RefSeq, a predicted model, not a curated record